ACGAGGGGCCCGAGCGUUAAUCGGAAUCACUGGGCGUAAAGCGCGUGCAGGCGGUGCGAUAAGUCGUGCGUGAAAGCUCCCAGGCUUAACCGGGAGAGGACGUGCGAGACUGUCGGACUAGAGGCAGGUAGAGGCAAGUGGAAUUCCGGGUGUAGUGGUGAAAUGCGUAGAGAUCCGGAGGAACCCCGGUGGCGAAGGCGACUUGCUGGGCCUGAACUGACGCUCAGACGCGAAAGCAUGGGGAGCGAACGG
This 252-nucleotide ribosomal RNA is filed under the name uncultured prokaryote. Its description in RNAcentral is "partial 16S ribosomal RNA". It matches the Rfam family "Bacterial small subunit ribosomal RNA", at positions 525 to 775 of the family's 1533-position model. The record is from RNAcentral.